RNAcentral lists this ribosomal RNA (408 nucleotides) under uncultured bacterium. RNAcentral describes it as "partial 16S ribosomal RNA". It matches the Rfam family "Bacterial small subunit ribosomal RNA", at positions 28 to 526 of the family's 1533-position model. The record is from RNAcentral.
GACGAACGCUGGCGGCGUGCUUAACACAUGCAAGUCGAACGGAGUGGCGAACGGGUGAGUAACACGUGGGUGACCUGCCCUGCACUUCGGGAUAAGCCUGGGAAACUGGGUCUAAUACCGGAUAGUGUGGGAUGGGCCCGCGGCCUAUCAGCUUGUUGGUGGGGUAAUGGCCGAUCAAGGCGGCGACGGGUAGCCGGCCUGAGAGGGUGGACGGAAACAUGGGGACUGAGACACGGCCGAGACUCCGACGGGAGGCAGCAGGGGGGAAUAGUGCACAAUGGGAGGAAGCCGGAUGCAGCGACGCCGCGUGGGGGAUGACGGCCUGCGGGUUGUAAACGCCUGUCACCAUCGACGCGGUAGAUGGAGAAGAAGCACCGGCUAACUACGUGCCAGCCGCCGCGGUAAUUC